Molecule: long non-coding RNA, 2170 nt
Organism: Apteryx owenii (little spotted kiwi)
Lineage: Eukaryota; Metazoa; Chordata; Aves; Apterygiformes; Apterygidae
Source: Ensembl
AUGCUACCUCCACCCGCACCCCCGUCCCGCUGCGCCCUCGGACUGUUGGGUUUGACACCAAAAUCUCCCCCAGGCUUCCAUGGUGCACACGACCGAGACCAUCCGGAUCCGCUACUUCAUGGACCUGCUGAUGGAGAAGCAGUGGCCGGUGAUGCUGGUGGGGAACGCAGGGAUGGGGAAAUCGGUCAUGAUGGGGGACAAGCUGGAGGCGCUCAGCACGGACGAGUACCUGGUGCAGUCCGUGCCCUUCAACUUCUACACCACCUCGGCCAUGCUGCAGGCCAUUCUCGAGAAGCCCCUGGAGAAGAAGUCGGGGAGGAACUACGGCCCCCCCGGCACCCGGCGGCUCGUCUACUUCAUCGACGACAUGAACAUGCCGGAGGUGGACAAGUACGGCACCGUGGCCCCGCACACGCUCAUCCGGCAGCACAUGGACCAUGGGCACUGGUAGGUGCGCGGUGGCGGUGGCACCAUCCCCGGUGCGGGGCCGCGUCCCCCAAAACCCCAGCUUGGCACGCGCAGCGGGGCCAGUCCCCAAUCCGGGUGCAUCAGCAUGGAGCCCAUCCCGCGGCCACGGUCUGUGCCACGCUCCUGCCCCGGCGCGGUGGCAUUGCCGCUGCCGUGAGCGCGGGCAGAGCGACGUGUCCUGGCACGCGGAUGCUGGUGCCUCUCCUGUCCCCGCAGCACCGGAGCCGUCUCCCUGCCCGUGCUGCCUCCUGCGGAAAAGCACCAGCUCUGCGUCCCGCUGCCGGGAACAGCAGGUCCGGGCUGCAGGAAUCCUCCCCUUUCACUCCAGCUGACUCCUUCCAGGAGCUGCUGGGAAAGGCUUUGGCACAGAAAUGGGGAAACUCUCCUCGCGGUUCCCAAACGUGCGGAUCAGUCCAAAGCAAACAGCCCUGGCUCCGGCACCGAGGCUUGGCCGGGGAAGCCCUGGCGAGGGGGAUUUCUGCUCUGGGCAGAGCAGCUUGUGGGGGCACCGCGGAGCGCGGUGCAGACGACACAGGGCUCUCCUUGGAGGGAGGAAGAGCCCGACAAGUCCCGUCGGCCGCAGCAAGUGUUACGGGCCGUGGGGACGGGAUGGUCCUGGUGCCACGAGCAGCACCCGGAGCAGCAGCACCAGGCUCCUCCAAGCACCUGGGACAUGGGGCGUCCCCCCCCAACCCGCGCUGAGGGCAAAGCCUGUCCGGGGGGACACGGCCCGUGGACAGCCUGUCCCUCCACCUGGCGCAGGUACGACAGGAACAAGCUGACCCUGAAGGACAUUCACAACUGCCAGUACGUGGCUUGCAUGAACCCCACCGCCGGGUCCUUCACCAUCGACUCGCGGCUGCAGGUACGCGGGGACGAGGCGCCAGGGAGCCGGGCAGCGCCGUGCCGCCGGCUCCGGCAAACGGCUCCCGCGCGCCGGGCGGCUGAGCGCGGGCUCUUUGCUGCAGCGACACUUCUGCGUCUUUGCGGUGAGCUUUCCCGGGCAAGAAGCGCUCCUGACCAUUUACAGCACCAUCCUCGCCCAGCACCUGGCUCAGCACAAGAUGCCGCUGGCUGUCCGGAAGCUGCAGGCCCAGCUGAUCGCGGCCGCCCUGGGUGAGCCCUCGUCACACGCGGGGGGGGUGGAAAGGCAGCAAACGGCGGCUUUCGGCACCCACAUGCGCUGCACAGGACCCCGGCCAGCACAGUGCAAACCAAAGCCGUGCCGAACCGUCACCGCCCCAGGAAGCUCCGUGCAGCACCUCGGGUCACCGCGCUGCGCAGAGGAAACCCCCGUUCCUCCCUUUCUCCAAUUUAUAUUCAAACUGCAGUCCACUGCACCUGGGAAUGGUCAAACUAAAAUUUCAGAUUCGGUUCAGUCCGCCCAAGUUCAGAGGGAAACGGGCAGAGCAAGGCGCAGGGACCCCGCGCUGAGCGCGGCGGUCUCCGCCACCCGCCUGCCCGCUCACCCCCUGUCUCCCGCGAGCAGCCCUGCACCAGAAGGUCACCUCCACCUUCCUGCCGACCGCCAUCAAGUUCCACUACCUCUUCAACCUCCGCGACCUCUCCAACAUUUUCCAGGUACCGGCGGGGGGGAUUUCCUUUAAAACGCACCUGUGCCUUUCUUUCCUUUGUGCCACGUCCUUGCAGCGUACCGUCUCCUUGAGAUGCACCGGGACCUUUUCCCAAAGCCAGCGCUUUA